RNAcentral lists this ribosomal RNA (517 nucleotides) under uncultured bacterium. RNAcentral describes it as "bacterial SSU rRNA". It matches the Rfam family "Bacterial small subunit ribosomal RNA", at positions 28 to 481 of the family's 1533-position model. The record is from RNAcentral.
GACGAACGCUGGCGGCGUGGAUUAGGCAUGCAAGUCGAACGGUAUAAACCUUUCGGGGUUUAGAGAGUGGCGAACGGGUGAGUAACACGUAGGUAAUCUACCCUCAAAACGGGGACAACCCAGGGAAACUUGGGCUAAUACCGGAUGCGUGCAAGCAAUGUUUUGGCUGUUAAUGCUAUUCACGGAAGUGAGUAGUGUUAAUGGUUGAGAGCAUUAUUUGCAUAAAAGGUGGCAUAUGCUGCCGUUUGAGGAUGAGCCUGCGUCCUAUUAGUUAGUUGGUGAGGUAAUGGCUUACCAAGGCGACGAUAGGUAGGCGGCCUUAACGGGUGGUCGCCCACACUGGGAUUGAGAGACGGCCCAGACUCCUACGGGAGGCAGCAGUCGAGAAUAGUCUACAAUGGACGGAAGUCUGAUAGUGCGACGCCGCGUGAACGAAGAAUCCCUUCGGGGUGUAAAGUUCUUUUAUACGUGAGCAGUGCCCUUUAUAUGAAUAGUAUAGAGGGAGGGAUUUAAGCGU